UUAUAUUUACUAUUUCCUCUGUCGUUCUCAAAUGAGUGAUGUAUUACACUCACCAGUGCAUUAUUUCCAUUGCUAUACCAAAUUCACUACCGGUAAAAUUUUUUAAAUUGUACUACUACUGCAUGCCAUGGACUAUCCGCUAUUUCUACCGUCAUUGAUGGGCUCUUGUUGAUAUUUGGCCUGCAAGUGAUCCACUUCCAAAGUCCUUUCUAAGAGUCUACACUCUGGUACCAACUGUUAUAGGCUGGAUUCACCACAAACCAUAUUUUGAGGCAGAGAUUUGCAUGCAGGGACUUUACUGGAAGUUGCUCUUAGAAUCAACUCUUGUGGGGAAGCAAAGCAACAAAAUUAUAGAGAGAGAAAAGAUGAACUAUGAAUCAGCCAAAACAAAGACCAUAGGCUCUCCAACAGAGCUCUGGAGUUGGGAUGGUCCUUCAGAGUUGCCCAAAUUGAAGCAACAAGGUUAGGACUUUAUACCCCUACAUCACCCAGUUUGGGGAUGUCAGUUGCCUCCAGGAAGAAGGUAUGAUUUUGUCUAUGCAGCUUACUUUAGCCAAGAAAAAUUCUCUGAGAGAGACUCAGCUGAGAGCUGCCAACACUCCCAGCAGCUGAGGGAAUAAGUUCUUUUGACCUGGGUUGGGAAGGGUAUCUAGCUACACACCACACCCUCUACUACACAGACCAUGGAAAAUCAGUGUCUCUAAGCAAAGACAGAUUCACUACUUAGUCUACAUAUUUGCAAUUGCCCACCUUUUAUUCCUCAGAUUAACUCAGCUUUACUCAGGUUCAGUGUAUGUGCUAGGCACCAGGAAAAUAAUGAUAAAUAAGAUUCCUAUAUUCAGAAUGCCAACUAUUUCCUCCCUGCCUCCAUAGCUCCUAUAAGAGAAUGUGCCCAUUCUCCUUCUCUAGGAGUCUACUCCCAUAAGCCCUUCUUCAGUGUUCUGUUGCUACAUAUUUCCUGUCCUCAGCUGAUUGGUGCAAGGGUGAUAACUAGACCCAAGCUGUACCAACCUGAUUUUCUCUUCUUUUUUUAGGGCCGCACCCAGGGCAUAUGGAGGUUCCCAGGGUAGGGGUCAAAUCUGAGCUACAGCUGCCUGCCUAUGCCACAGCCACAGCAAUGCAGGAUCCAAGCCACGUCUGUGACCUACACCACAGCUCACAGCAAAGCUGGAUCUUCAACCCACUGAGUGAGGCCAGGGAUCAAACCCGCAACCUCAUGGUUCCUAGUCAGAUUCAUUUCCGCUGCGCCACCACGGGAACUCAUGAUUUUCUCUUCUGAUACCUUGGAACUGGUACCUUUGGACCCAAAUCAGUCUUUUUUAUUUUACUAGAAACUCCAUAUCAAGCCAAGGCCACAACAGAAAUAACUGGUUUCUGUGCCCCGAGAAACAGAGAAAACAAGUGAAAAGGCAGCAUAAAGUAGAUAUUCAGAAAGGAGCAGGGAAAGGAGAUCAUGAACAUUCUCUGUCAAGAUGCUUCUGGCCACAAGUAUGCCUUUCUUAAACAGUGAGAAAACCUACCACUUUAUAUAUUAGUCUGUUAGGGCUACUGCAACAAAAUAUCACAAACUGGAUGGCUAAAACAACAGAAAUAUAUUUCUCCUAGUUCUGGAGGCUGGAAGCCUGAGAUCAAAGUGUUGGCAGGUUUGGUUCCUCUGAAGGCCUCUCCUUGGUGGGCAGAUGGCUGCUUAGCCUUUCCUCUGUUUGUGUAUUCUUGAUGUCUCUCCCUCUCCUUAUAAGGACACAAGUCAUAUUGGGUUAAAGCCUACACUUACGACCUCAUCUAAGCUGAAUUAUCUCUUUAAAGCCCCUAUGUCCAAAUACAGUCACAGUCUAAGGUACGAGGGUUUAGGACUUCAACAUAUGAGUUUGGGGGGAACAGAAUUCAGCCCAUGACACCUUAUAUAACAGGAAGUCCUCUUAAUGUAGGCUCCGGGUACGGCCCAAUGACACAAAGUCACAGGUGCUGUCUCUGCUCUCUUCCUCUUGGCAUCAGGUUAAUUCUAAGGCUGGUUCCCCUUAUCGCUGAAAGAGGACUGCCAAUGGCAAUUGGGACUAUAGGCUUUCUUUUUAAGUCUGGAAAUAAAGAAAGAUACCUUCUCCACCAAUUAUGGAGCCCUCUGAUUUUAAUCUGUUUGGGUCAACUUAGGUUACCAGGCUUACUCCUGGGCCUAUAAUAGCCACAAGAAUGCCAUCUGUUGAUUGUCUACCCCCAGAAGACCUACCCCCAGAAAUGAAGAGAUUGUUGUCUUCUCCUGGAGUUAGAAAGGGAAAGGAUGGUUAUCUGAACAUAAUCAAGAAUCUGUUAGGAAAAAAGAGGGGAGAAUGGAUGUUAGGUAGCUUUGCUGUCAAAGCUAUAGCCAUGAGAAAGAAUCCCCAGUGGAAAGGCAGGGAUAAUCCUGUGCUACAACCAUUACUCGCCAGCAGUAUAUUUCUACCUUUCAUUCCUCUGCAGCCAUUUAUCUCAGAAUAAACCAACAUGGAGAAAAAAAUCAAAUUAUACUUUCCAAACCAGUUUCUUUACCCUCACCUAUACUCCUCUCCCACUAAUUUGCCAGUGGUCCAUAGAGCACUGCCAAGGAAAUACUGAGUAACUUUCUCUCCUUGUCCACAGUAGAAUUGUUUCAGCUUGUGUUGUUGAAAAUAUUAGAAAACAAACUUGAUGCUUCAGAACAUUUGUUCUUGAGGACUGUUCAAAAAUCUUGCCCAAACUUAUAAUAAAUAACAGGGGAAGCCAGGUUUUGGAUCACUAGCCCUCGUUCCUUCUGAGGGUUGGUCUAGCUCUCUUUCCUCUAACCACACUCCUUCUCAUCACUGGUUGUAUGUAGACCAGACUCUUGACUUUAAAAAAGGGAGAAAAUCAGUAUAAACCCAUCUUUUCCUCUUCCUUAAAGAGGCAGUUGUUCGACAAUUAGCAGUAUGUUUACACUGAAAAUAUUAACAUAUAAAAUUAGAUUCCUAUCUGAGAUCACAUAUCAUUAGAUUUAGAGUUUUUUUUUCUUUUUCUUUCUGAGUGAAAAUUUCAAUAACGCUGAAUUUGUGUAUAUGUGAGGUCUUUCCCACAUUGUUUAAAGACUGGCUAAAGAUUAAUUAUCAGUUUACUUUUGAAUCAAGGCUGACUAUAGGGCUUUGUCUUUUCUGCACAACUGUGGCAAUAAAGUAUGUACUUUUUGUAUUUAAUUGGGGCAAAUGAAAGGGCAGCUCUGCUGCAGGUGUUAACUUGCAAAUAUCUGAGUUCACACUGCUUUGUGCUGGGAGCAUGGUUGUGGGUUUUGGGGAACUAACAUACAUCUGAGUGUGGAUAGGGAAAAUCAGGGUAGAUGGCAUUAAACCAGGUAAGUCUUAAUUCUCAAGGAGGCAAGUUGUUUUUCAGUUUUCCAGUGAUCUUGAACCAGCCUGUUAAAAAGCUAUUUGGCUUCUCAUACAAUUCUCCCCUUGCUGAGAAUUCCCUGCCUACUCCUUUACUUUCACCCCAGUGAGGCCAAAACCCUACCCUGUUUCUGGCCCCAGAGCAGGCUUUGCUAUUUAGAAAGUAGCAGAAAUGAGGAAAUGGUAGGGAGGAGGAAUGUGUGACCAAUACCCGUUUCCUAGCUCCUGACACAUAUCUACGUCCAACUACUAUGUCCCAAGUCCCUGCAGUGCUCUCUGCAUGUGGGCUCUGAAAUGCCCUGGGGAAUCCCUAGGUCUGGCUCGCCUAUAAAUGCAAAUGAAUGCUAUUGAAGUCCUUUCUUUACUCCAAAACUGACUCUUAAAACACUCAUACUCAAGUAAGGAAGAAGUAAGUGAGAAUACAGGAGAAAGUGUGUGUGUGUGUGUGUGUGUGUUUGCAAAAGGGAGGUCAGGGAACUGUUUUAACUUACCGUUUGUUUUUCAUUUUAUUAGCCUUAAAAAUAAAAUAAAAAUAAUAAAAAAUUAAAAUAAAAAUCCCCAAAAUGGAGUUCCCGCUGUGGCGCAACAGAAUCAGUGGCAUCUCUGCAGUACCAGAAGGCAGGUUCAAUCCCUGGCCCUGCACAGUGGGUUAAAGGUCUGACAUUGCUGCAGCUGUGGUGUAGGUUGCAACUGCAGCUCAGAUCUGAUCUCCAGACUGGGGAACUUUAUGUGCCAUAGGGCAGCCAAAAAUGAAAGGGAAAAAAAAACUAAAAAAAAAAAAAAAAAAAUCCCCAAAGUGUUUCAGGAUCAGGUAAGUGGGGAAACGUUUUCAGAUGUUUGGUUUUGGUUGUGUCCCUUUCUGUACUGUAGUGAGCAAGUGAAAGAAGCAAUACCAGUGGAACAGCAAAGUUUUGGGCCAGUCCUGAGGCCUCAGAGGGAAGUUAACAAAUUGGAAGUUACCAUCGGCUACACCAGCAACUGGCCCAAAAUGAACACUGGAAUUGAUUACCCAGCAGCCAUUAUCUACUAGAUUACAAUUUUAUAAAUUGUGGUAAUGCCAUCCUCUUUGCUGUUUGUUUUGGAAAUGGAUUAUGACCAAAUUCUGGUCAACAAGACAUGAAGGGAAAUUCUCUGGGAGAAUUCUGGGAAAUUUUUCCUUUGUUUUGCUACCAGCUUAGGAAGUGAAGCAAUAGAAUAGCAGAGCAUAAAAAUUGAAAGUCUGUGUCCUCAUAAUUAAGUUAAGGAUAUAAAAGGGACUCCUGAGGCUGCAUCAGAGAACACAGAUCUGCGCUGCUGUGGCUGUGGUGUAGGCUGGCAGCUGCAGCUCAGAUUCAACCCCUAGCCACGGAACUUCCAUAUGCCACAGGUGUGACCCUAAAAAGCAAAUCAAAAAUAAUAAAAUAAUAAAACAAAGUAAAAUUAUUAUUGUAUGACAUGGUUUCCACAAAAAAUAGAUUUUCUGUUUGAGACAACUGAUUUAUAAAAUGCAACCUAUGGUAAAUCUGAGACUAUACAUACAUUCUAGUUUUAACUGAAAUCCUUACAUGAAGAAUAUCCUUGCCUGAACUAGAUGUUUGAGAUGUUUAUUCUAAUAUCAGCAAUAAGAGGAAAGAGAGAUUUGAUGCUGUGCCACUAGUCAGGGCUUCACUCGGCCUAGUAUGCAUGUGUCUGAGUAUGUGAGGGGAGGGGAAGGAAGAGGAGGGGAAAGCAGAGGCCAAUGUCAUGGUUUUCCCCUACCCUGCAAUGCUGUUAUUCAGGCAAAAUAAGGUUAAAAGGAACAUUGAGAGGUGUCCUGAAAAUCAAAGAGUCACAAAAGCCAACUGUACCCUGUUGAGGAUCCAUCUCCUAAUACUGGUAUGAUAAAAAGAAAUGUAUAUAGACUAAGUGCAUGUGUAUGAAUCUUAGAUAUAUCAUUAGAGCCAGAUGGAAAAAUCCUUUCCUUCUUUGCUGGUCCUGUCUUUACCCCAGGAUAGCAGUGCCUAUGAGUAGGAGGGAUAGUUUGUGUAGCUGACUCAACCAAUUAUCAGUCUACAAAGAAGGGACCAAGUGGGAAAUAACCUAAUUUUCCCACAGUCUUCAUGACUAGGACUUCCCCCUUACCUAGUUACUAGCCAGUGGAGAAUAUGUCUUAAUAAUGUUUGUGUUCCUACCCCCCUUUGCCCAAUGUGAGAAAAAUAGUUACCUUUAACUAAACACAGCCAAGUACUUUGCUUACAUUAUCUCAUUUAAUCUUCAUAGUAACACUGUAAUUUAGAUGUUAGUAUGCUCAUUUUAAUUAUGCAGAAACAGAGGAGCAAUUUGGUUGACCAAGUUGAUCAAGAUCACAUAGCAGGUAUUAAAGUCAAGUUUGAAACACACCCAGUCUCAAAGUCCAGGUUUUUAAUAAGCAGCUCUGACCAGGGUCCUCAAGACCACCCUCAGGUUCAAUGAGUCACUAUAAGGACUUAGAAAUAAUAAUAACUCAGAAAAGCUAUUAUACUCAUGGUUACUGUUUACAACAAUGAAAGGCUACAGAUUAAAGCCAGCGAAGGUAAAAGGAGUGGGAGGAGUCUAUGGGAGAACAGGAACAAGCUUCCAGUUUUCUCUUCCCACUGGACAGCACUUAGAGACAGGUGCCUUUCCCAGCAACAAUAAGCAUGGAAUACUCCUCACCAAGGAAGCUCACCUGAGCCUUGGGUGUCCAGGGUUUCUAGUAGGGAUUGGUUACAUCAGCAUAGGGGACCCACAUGACUUACAUUACUCAGUCCCCAGUACACCCAAAGGUCAAACUGACACAGCAUGGCCCAAGGCCUCCACCAUAAAUCUUCUUGUUGGCAUAAACUAUCUGCUGUGGCUUGAAUAUUGACUUAAAUAUCAAUUUGUAAUCAGCUUACAUUGCCAGGGCCAUAGUCAACAGGCUGAAUAAUUAUAUUUCUGGGUCAUCGCAGUUCUAUGCCAUUUACAAGUCAGAAGGCAUAUGUGAUAUUAGAAUCUUCUAAAUUCUAAGCAAUAGAGAAGAAAAACGAGACAUUAGAUCAAGAACAAUAAGAAUAUUUUAAUUUCAUGGAUAAUACAAAAGAGAAAAGGAAAUUUAUUCAAAUAUUCUUAAAAACAAAUGUGCUUUUAAAAAUGAUAAGGUACUCUGUACCUAAAAGUGGUGUAAAUUUUUUUUUUUUUUGCUUUUUUUUUUUUUUAGGGCCACGUCCAAGGCAUAUGGAGGUCCUCAGGCUCAGGGUUGAAUGGGAACUGUAGCCGCCAGCCUAUGCCAGAGCCAUAACAACACAGUCCAAGCAGCGUCUGCAAUCUACAAAAAGUGGUGUAACUUUGGACUUAAAUGAGUAUCUGCUUCCUCAUUUAUUAAAAAAAAAACAAAAAAACAAAAA
Molecule: long non-coding RNA, 6730 nt
Filed under: Sus scrofa (pig)
Lineage: Eukaryota; Metazoa; Chordata; Mammalia; Artiodactyla; Suidae
Description: lncRNA (ENSSSCG00050074231.1)
Source: RNAcentral